AGCCACCCCCUGUCUCUGCAGGAAGCCCUCCACCACUAGUAGGUUCUGAUUAAAAGACAGCUCUGCCAGCCAUUGUGUCUUAGUUGGAAUGAAAACCCCUUGAAGAGCAGUAUUACUGUGUGUGAACAUAAGUACAAAUAAUUCUGCAGCCUGGAUAUAUCCUCUUAUAUUUUUCCUAGUGUGUUUCACCUCAUGGAAUCACCUGUUGUCUGGAUCUUUAUUUAGCUAAAUUACUGGGGACACAGGUUCGAGCCCUGGUCCGGGAAGAUCCCACGUGCUGCG
This is a long non-coding RNA of Aethalodelphis obliquidens (Pacific white-sided dolphin), 282 nucleotides long. RefSeq lists it as uncharacterized. The record is from RefSeq and is a predicted model, not a curated record. NCBI's taxonomy places the organism in Eukaryota, Metazoa, Chordata, Mammalia, Artiodactyla, Delphinidae. The transcript has 3 exons.